UACGUAGGGCGCAAGCGUUGUCCGGAAUUAUUGGGCGUAAAGAGCUCGUAGGCGGUUUGUCGCGUCUGUCGUGAAAGCUUGGGGCUUAACCCCAAGUCUGCGGUGGAUACGGGCAGACUAGAGGCAGGUAGGGGAGAACGGAAUUCCCGGUGUAGCGGUGAAAUGCGCAGAUAUCAGGAGGAACACCGGUGGCGAAGGCGGAUCUCUGGGCCGAUACUGACGCUGAGGAGCGAAAGCGUGGGGAGCGAACAGG
This 253-nucleotide ribosomal RNA is filed under the name uncultured bacterium. RNAcentral's name for it is "partial 16S ribosomal RNA". It matches the Rfam family "Bacterial small subunit ribosomal RNA", at positions 524 to 776 of the family's 1533-position model. The record is from RNAcentral.